AGCAAAUAGAUACCCAGGUAGUCCACGCCCUAAACGAUGUCUACUAGUUGUUGGUGGAGUAAAAUCCAUGAGUAAACGCAGCUAACGCGUGAAGUAGACCGCCUGGGGAGUACGGUCGCAAGAUUAAAACUCAAAGGAAUUGACGGGGGGCCCGCACAAGCGGUGGAUUAUGUGGAUUAAUUCGAUGCAACGCGAAAAACCUUACCUGGCCUUGACAUGCCACUAACGAAGCAGAGAUGCAUUAGGUGCCCGUAAGGGAAAGUGGACACAGGUGCUGCAUGGCUGUCGUCAGCUCGUGUCGUGAGAUGUUGGGUUAAGUCCCGCAACGAGCGCAACCCUUGCCAUUAAUUGCCAUCAUUUAGUUGGGCACUUUAAUGGGACUGCCGGUGACAAACCGGAGGAAGGUGGGGAUGACGUCAAGUCCUCAUGGCCCUUAUGGCCAGGGCUUCACACGUAAUACAAUGGUCGGUACAGAGAGUUGCCAACCCGCGAGGGGAGCUAAUCUCAGAAAGCCGAUCGUAGUCCGGAUUGUUCU
This 535-nucleotide ribosomal RNA is filed under the name uncultured bacterium. RNAcentral's name for it is "bacterial SSU rRNA". It matches the Rfam family "Bacterial small subunit ribosomal RNA", at positions 767 to 1304 of the family's 1533-position model. The record is from RNAcentral.